This 279-nucleotide long non-coding RNA is filed under the name Citrus maxima (pomelo). Its description in RNAcentral is "long non-coding RNA (CMAX_LNC000701)". The record is from RNAcentral. Lineage: Eukaryota; Viridiplantae; Streptophyta; Magnoliopsida; Sapindales; Rutaceae.
CGACAGAUGAGUUAGAGUGGUGGGCAGUAUCAUUACCUUCUCGUCUGGAAAACACUCUGCUUCAUGACAUCCACUAAUCGAGAGGCUUUGAAGAGGGGUAUACCUGUACAAGCCCCACUGGGUGAGUGCCUUUACAGUAAUUGCAGGCAUAACACAUCAAUUGCAAGUACUCCCAGGAUUUGUGUGGUGAAAAAUGAAGGCUUCGGAGCAAGUGUACCUCCAAAUGAUCCUCAAACGCCUAUCGCAUUGCAUGGCUUCGAUACUGUCAGAGCUCCCCUU